This 511-nucleotide ribosomal RNA is filed under the name Dolichopoda schiavazzii. Its description in RNAcentral is "SSU rRNA". It matches the Rfam family "Eukaryotic small subunit ribosomal RNA", at positions 52 to 546 of the family's 1831-position model. RNAcentral also lists the same sequence under 29 other names. The record is from RNAcentral. Lineage: Eukaryota; Metazoa; Arthropoda; Insecta; Orthoptera; Rhaphidophoridae.
UGCAUGUCUCAGUGCAAGCCAAAUUAAGGUGAAACCGCGAAUGGCUCAUUAAAUCAGUUAUGGUUCCUUAGAUCGUACCCACGUUACUUGGAUAACUGUGGUAAUUCUAGAGCUAAUACAUGCAAACAGAGCUCUGACCAGAAAUGGAAAGAGCGCUUUUAUUAGAUCAAAACCAAUCGGUCGGCUCGUCCGGUCCGUUUGCCUUGGUGACUCUGAAUAACUUUGGGCUGAUCGCACGGUCCUUGUACCGGCGACGCAUCUUUCAAAUGUCUGCCUUAUCAACUUACGAUGGUAGGUUCUGCGCCUACCAUGGUUGUAACGGGUAACGGGGAAUCAGGGUUCGAUUCCGGAGAGGGAGCCUGAGAAACGGCUACCACAUCCAAGGAAGGCAGCAGGCGCGCAAAUUACCCACUCCCGGCACGGGGAGGUAGUGACGAAAAAUAACGAUACGGGACUCAUCCGAGGCCCCGUAAUCGGAAUGAGUACACUUUAAAUCCUUUAACGAGUAUCC